Molecule: ribosomal RNA, 502 nt
Filed under: uncultured Enterococcus sp.
Lineage: Bacteria; Bacillati; Bacillota; Bacilli; Lactobacillales; Enterococcaceae
Description: bacterial SSU rRNA
Rfam family: Bacterial small subunit ribosomal RNA
Source: RNAcentral
AGUAGGGAAUCUUCGGCAAUGGACGCAAGUCUGACCGAGCAACGCCGCGUGAGUGAAGAAGGUUUUCGGAUCGUAAAACUCUGUUGUUAGAGAAGAACAAGGAUGAGAGUAAAAUGUUCAUCCCUUGACGGUAUCUAACCAGAAAGCCACGGCUAACUACGUGCCAGCAGCCGCGGUAAUACGUAGGUGGCAAGCGUUGUCCGGAUUUAUUGGGCGUAAAGCGAGCGCAGGCGGUUUCUUAAGUCUGAUGUGAAAGCCCCCGGCUCAACCGGGGAGGGUCAUUGGAAACUGGGAAACUUGAGUGCAGAAGAGGAGAGUGGAAUUCCAUGUGUAGCGGUGAAAUGCGUAGAUAUAUGGAGGAACACCAGUGGCGAAGGCGGCUCUCUGGUCUGUAACCGACGCUGAGGCUCGAAAGCGUGGGGAGCAAACAGGAUUAGAUACCCUGGUAGUCCACGCCGUAAACGAUGAGUGCUAAGUGUUGGAGGGUUUCCGCCCUUCAGUG